AAAAAAAUAAGAGAGAGAGGAGAAGUCCUACCUAUCCCCGGAGGAGAAGCUGUAGAGUUUGUCGGAGGCGGAGACAACGAGAAGCCCAACAGAUGCCUCGCAGAGAACAGAAAGCUGACGAGCUUUCUCGAUGAGACCGUUGCGUCGUUUGCAGAAGGUAUGAGGCAUAGACACGGCAUAAACCUACCUGAAGGGCAAAUGUGAAGAAUCCCUAGAACAAUGGAUACAACAAGGUCCUUGAAAGAAGUUGAGAAGACAAGAAAGAAAUGUUUUUUUUUUUUUUUUGCUUUUAACACAGACAGGAAAUGUCUUCGUAUGGGGUUUUAAUCAACUUGAAGGAGUAAAGAUGAAAGGAAGAUAUUUUUUUUUGUAUGGGUGUGUAUGUUACUAAAGGACUUUUCGUAGUGGAAAGCGGGUAUAAUUUGCCUCGGUACGGCUUGAAA
This is a long non-coding RNA of Brassica napus (rape), 443 nucleotides long. RefSeq lists it as uncharacterized. The record is from RefSeq and is a predicted model, not a curated record. The transcript is spliced from 2 exons. Lineage: Eukaryota; Viridiplantae; Streptophyta; Magnoliopsida; Brassicales; Brassicaceae.